Molecule: ribosomal RNA, 426 nt
Filed under: Megaselia sp. 12 SH-2017
Lineage: Eukaryota; Metazoa; Arthropoda; Insecta; Diptera; Phoridae
Description: partial 16S ribosomal RNA
Source: RNAcentral
UUUUAGAAAUUAAUUUAAAGUCUAACCUGCCCACUGAAUAAUUUUAAAUGGCCGCAGUAUCCUAACUGUGCAAAGGUAGCAUAAUCAUUAGUCUUUUAAUUGAAGGCUGGAAUGAAUGGUUGGAUGAAAUAUUAACUGUUUCAUAAAAAUUUAUAAUAGAAUUUUAUUUUUUAGUUAAAAAGCUAAAAUAUUAUUAAAAGACGAGAAGACCCUAUAAAUCUUUAUAUUUAAAUUAUUUUAAUUAUUUAGAUAAAUUAAAUUAUAAUUAUUUUAAAUAUUUUAUUGGGGUGAUAUUAAAAUUUAAUAAACUUUUAAUUUAUUAUAAACAUAAAUUAAUGAAUUAUUGAUCCAUUUAUUAUGAUUAAAAAAUUAAGUUACUUUAGGGAUAACAGCGUAAUUUUUUUAGAGAGUUCAUAUUGAUAAAAA